Long non-coding RNA from Pezoporus occidentalis (night parrot), 674 nucleotides. RefSeq lists it as uncharacterized. NCBI's taxonomy places the organism in Eukaryota, Metazoa, Chordata, Aves, Psittaciformes, Psittacidae. The record is from RefSeq and is a predicted model, not a curated record. The transcript has 2 exons.
CGGGGCAGAGCGGACGGGGAAGGGGAACUGGUGCGCCGGGCCGAGGAGCGGGCCCUGAGAACGGGGCUCGGUACCCGGCGGCCACACGACCCGCGCGGGGCUUGGUCGGAGCGGGGCGGGAGGGUGCCCGGUUCGAGCCCGGGGGUGUCCGGGCCAAUCGCAGGGGGCUGUGGCGGCUUCGGUCUCGCUUUGCCCUGCCGAAGGCCCGGGCAAUGAACACGGGGUGGAACCGGUACAAAGAGCCCCGCAAAAUCCUCGGCCCUCGCCCCUGUUGAUGAGUUCGGGUGUGGAAGAGUACUGCUUGUCCUCCUACUCGGAGAGCUGCCUGCUGCCUCUCCUCAAAUACGUGAGUACGGGGUGAUCAUAAGAGCAGCUGGGAGCCCACUGAGAGGAUGACAGAGGUAUAAAUCCUUGGUCUAAUGGACAUCACCUGAAAAACUUGCAGAAAGAACUGUAAUAAUGUGAAGUCAACAGAGACUGUUCCAAGACUGUCUUUCUUUAACAAGGAAUUUUACAGUGACAUAGACUUUGUAACGUUCAACAUUAUACUUGUUGUCAUUUGCAUUUAUCUGCAGAAACAUAAUGUUGCAUAUCAGGAACUUUAACACACUGCUAUAAAACUUACUAUUAGGUACUGGUUCCUGGUCGACUAAUUAUUUCACUGUUCAGACGCA